RNAcentral lists this unclassified non-coding RNA (1052 nucleotides) under Hevea brasiliensis (rubber tree). The record is from RNAcentral. Lineage: Eukaryota; Viridiplantae; Streptophyta; Magnoliopsida; Malpighiales; Euphorbiaceae.
CGACCCAAACGUUUAGCCCAGCAUAGAUGGAAGAGGAAAGGAAGUAUUCAUUUGCUAUUUUACCAAUUAAUAAGGGAACAAAAAGAAGGGAAGAAUCCUGAAUUGGGGAAAAACAGAGAGAGCAUCUACGACUAGAGAAAUAGGGGCGGGAGAAUCUGGGGGCACCAAAUCCAAUCUAGCAAUUGCUGAUCAAACUCCAUUUUCUCAUGCUUGUCCUCACCUUGAAGAAGCCAGCUGUUGUACCCUUUCACCACAGAACCCAAAAUCGAAGAAAUGGAGAGAAGAGUGUCGCUGCUGUCCAUCUCUUCACACGGCGUUUCUGAUGCCAAUGGUUAAUGUAAGCCAUUUUCUCCGUCCCUUAGCCACCAUAAAACCCUCUCAAGCCUCCAUUUGAGUCGAGAAUUGAAAUUGAAAGAAGAAUCAAAAGUUUUGGGGAAACAAAGUCUACGGGUAAUUCACGAGUGCAACAAAAAUUUCAACAGAGGAGGGUACCGCAGAGGUCAUUGGAACCCCAUUUACGCUACAAGUGCUAGCAGCUCUUUGGGUGUCAUGUGAGUAGUGUUGAGCAGCCCGUUUUCUUCAAUUUUUCCUGCCUUGAGGUUUAAGUUGGCAAAUUUCAUUUGGGUGGUGGAAAGCAAACUGGGCGAAGCUUCUCCAAUCAUCCAUGCCUGUCAAUUAAAGGCCUAAAAUUCCUAUUCCGAGACUUGCAUUGCUGUUCAGUCAAUGAGGUGAAGAAUACGAAAGGCCAUAAUUUUAGCAAUUUCUUGAUAUGAAGUUCAAAUCUUUAAUAAUUUAAUUGACCAUUAGUCUGCUUAAUUCUCACAUCAUAAGCUUUUCACCUUAAGACCUUGUAGACAGGCUGUGCAAGAGAUUUUAUUUCAAUUUGUAGAAUUCUAGUGUAAUAAACUCAUUCUUAUCUGUUAUAGGGAUUAAGGCACAAAAUAAGCUUAUUUCUAUAAAUGUUAUUUUCUUUAUUUUCAAUUUGUUUUUUGGUUUUCUAAAUAUUUGGACCUGGAAUAAGAUUUGUGAAUGUUGCUUUUUUUUUCUUUUUC